This is a long non-coding RNA of Prunus persica (peach), 752 nucleotides long. RefSeq lists it as uncharacterized. Lineage: Eukaryota; Viridiplantae; Streptophyta; Magnoliopsida; Rosales; Rosaceae. The transcript is spliced from 2 exons. The record is from RefSeq and is a predicted model, not a curated record.
GGACAACAUAUUCUGCCUAUAAAUUGGGGUUGGUCCUCACUUAAUUGUAUCAUCAAGAAAAAGAACCAACUAAAGAGUUCAAAGAUGGCAAAGUCUGUUGCUGGAAUCCGUCCCACAGUUGCUAUCCUAAUUGCUUUCCUUCUCAUUGUUUCCUUGGUGGUGCCAACGGCAGAAGGAGUAAUAUGCCCGCUGGAGUCGAAGCGUAGCAAGACAUGGUCAGGGGUUUGUGUCAAAUCCAAGAACUGUGACAAACAAUGCAAGACAUGGGAACGUGCAAAGCACGGUGCCUGCCAUGCAACUUAUCGCAACGUUCUCGGUGUGAAGGUCUUUAAAGGGUUUGCAUGCUUCUGCUACUUUUGUAAAAAACAUUAAUAAUUAGGUCAAGCAAGCAAGUUUAUGUUUUGGCUAGGCAUGCAUGCAUGCAGGAAAUAAAGAGGUUUUGCUGCUGCCUCGUUCUAUGCUUGUGGAUCGUGUACUUUUCUGUUUGGAAGCUCAAAAAUAAAGGCUCUCGCAGUUCUGCUGGAUCGGCGAGAACCCACACGUGUUGUUUAAUCAUGUAACUCAUGUUUGUACUGCUUUAAAUUUGUACCCUCCCCUUGUUGUUUACAAUAAAAUAUAUAUGUUUGUUUCCAAUAUGAGUCAAUGGUGAUCCAAACUGUUCAAAUUGUGAGGCCCAUUUCGUAUUGUAAUAUGUAGUGUAUGUGUACCUAAACGUCGAUACGAUCCAAUAAUAAAAAUCGUUCAUCUGUUAA